GUAUCCCAAGAUCAAAUUUAAUGUAGAGGUCAAUGAUGCAAUUGGAUUCAUCCCUGCAACAAUAUUCGCAGAAAAAGCAGAAGAGCUCAACAUCACUGCAGCCGAAAUGAUCAACAAUACAAUCGAUGGUAAUCUAUCAGUUGAGAUGCUCCACAAGUUGUCGGCUCCCAAAAACGCUUCUAUCAUGCUAAGGGCAUCCAUGUACACCUAUGGAGCAAUUACCCAAUGUGUCUUCAGUGUGUACUCUAUCUUCAACUCAACUUCUGAUCAGCACGCAGUCGGGGAAGUAUCAAGCCAGGCUCUAGGACCAAACACCCCCCCAAAAGCGUGCAACAAAAUCACCUUGCACAGCAGAAUCACCAACAAACAAGGACACCAUGGAAGAAGAUGGAGCUGUUGAGCCUCUCAAGAACAAGCAGAAAAAGGAAUAGCUCAAUCAAUGAACCCUUUUGUUUUAUCUCUUAAAAUAGUAGACGUUGCAGCAAAUCUUUUGGACCGCCUAGUUUGCAGCCAUCUCUACUAUUUCUAGCUAUUAGGCUUUCCUAAAACUACAGGCAAAUCUUUUGGUUCAUGCCAUUUCCCUUCGGCCUCUACCAAAGUCUCUUUGAUGUAAUCAACUUAUGCCACUUUAACGUAUUGUAAAUAUAUCAGCACUGUUUGCAAAACUAAUUCCCCUCUGAUUGUGCCAAUACAAUGAAGAAGCCCACAACAUCCCCUCCCAAUACUAGGCAUGAGACAUCUCGUGCUGGCACAUGCCGUUUACCUAGUACAAACACUAUAGUAGGAGUUUGAGUUCCAUAUGUAAUCGUGGGAUGCAGGCUUUGAGCUGUUGUACUUCAAGAGCAAGAAUUGAUUCUGAUUUGAACAAUCACAGUUGAAGGAUAUAACUUUAAAUCUCUCGGAAUGUACUAUAGACUAUUA
This is a long non-coding RNA of Rhododendron vialii, 921 nucleotides long. RefSeq lists it as uncharacterized. The record is from RefSeq and is a predicted model, not a curated record. Lineage: Eukaryota; Viridiplantae; Streptophyta; Magnoliopsida; Ericales; Ericaceae. The transcript is spliced from 2 exons.